GGAAGUAAAAGUCGUAACAAAGUUUCCGUAGGUGAACCUGCGGAAGGAUCAUUACCGAGUGAGGGCCCUCUGGGUCCAACCUCCCACCCGUGUUUAUUUACCUUGUUGCUUCGGCGAGCCUGCCUUUUGGCUGCCGGGGGACGUCAGUCCCCGGGUCCGUGCUCGCCGGAGACACCUUAGAACUCUGUCUGAAGAUUGUAGUCUGAGAUUAAAUAUAAAUUAUUUAAAACUUUCAACAACGGAUCUCUUGGUUCCG
RNAcentral lists this unclassified non-coding RNA (256 nucleotides) under plant metagenome. Its description in RNAcentral is "partial contains small subunit ribosomal RNA, internal transcribed spacer 1, and 5.8S ribosomal RNA". The stretch from base 1 to 54 matches the Rfam family "Eukaryotic small subunit ribosomal RNA", at positions 1778 to 1831 of the family's 1831-position model. The record is from RNAcentral.